RNAcentral lists this ribosomal RNA (460 nucleotides) under uncultured bacterium. RNAcentral describes it as "partial 16S ribosomal RNA". It matches the Rfam family "Bacterial small subunit ribosomal RNA", at positions 338 to 795 of the family's 1533-position model. The record is from RNAcentral.
CCUACGGGAGGCAGCAGUGAGGAAUAUUGGUCAAUGGGCGUAAGCCUGAACCAGCCAAGCCGCGUGAGGGAUGAAGGUUCUAUGGAUCUUAAACCUCUUUUAUAAGGGAAUAAAGUGCGGCACUUCUCCCGUUUUGUGUCUACCUUAUGAAUGAGCAUCGGCUAACUACGUUCCAUCAGCCGCGGUAAUACGGAGGAUGCGAGCGUUAUCCGGAUUUAUUGGGUUUAAAGGGUGCGUAGGCGGCCUUUUAAGUCAGAGGUGAAAGUGUGUGGCUCAACCAUAGAAUUGCCGUUGAAACUGGGAGGCUUGAGUGUGUUAGAGGCAGGCGGAAUGCGUGGUGUAGCGGUGAAAUGCUUAGAUAUCACGAAGAACACCGAUUGCGAAGGCAGCCUGCUAAGCCAUGACUGACGCUGAUGCACGAAAGCGUGGGGAUCAAACAGGAUUAGAUACCCCUGUAGUC